Molecule: ribosomal RNA, 25 nt
Filed under: Trichoderma koningii
Lineage: Eukaryota; Fungi; Ascomycota; Sordariomycetes; Hypocreales; Hypocreaceae
Description: partial 18S ribosomal RNA
Source: RNAcentral
GGCUUUGGACGCGGAGGAUCUACCG